GAUCAUGGCUCAGGAUGAACGCUAGCGACAGGCUUAACACAUGCAAGUCGAGGGGCAGCACGGGAGUAGCAAUACAACUGGUGGCGACCGGCGCACGGGUGAGUAACGCGUAUGCAACCUACCUAUCAGAGGGGAAUAACCCGGCGAAAGUCGGACUAAUACCGCAUAAAACAGGGGCACCGCAUGGUGAUAUUUGUUAAAGAAAUUCGCUGAUAGAUGGGCAUGCGUUCCAUUAGGUAGUUGGUGAGGUAACGGCUCACCAAGCCGACGAUGGAUAGGGGAACUGAGAGGUUGGUCCCCCACACUGGUACUGAGACACGGACCAGACUCCUACGGGAGGCAGCAGUGAGGAAUAUUGGUCAAUGGGCGGGAGCCUGAACCAGCCAAGUCGCGUGAAGGAAGAAGGAUCUAUGGUUCGUAAACUUCUUUUGCAGGGGAAUAAAGUGCGGGACGUGUCCUGUUUUGUAUGUACCCUGAGAAUAAGGAUCGGCUAACUCCGUGCCAGCAGCCGC
This 512-nucleotide ribosomal RNA is filed under the name uncultured bacterium. Its description in RNAcentral is "bacterial SSU rRNA". It matches the Rfam family "Bacterial small subunit ribosomal RNA", at positions 15 to 518 of the family's 1533-position model. The record is from RNAcentral.